AGGUUUCCUGAAAAUUCUGAAGAAAUUUAAAGAACUAAAAUAUUUUCAUUAAGACAUGGAUUAGAAAUUUUAAACAAUGUCAAUUCUAAUAAAAGCGUGACUACAUUAAAAACAGGAAUAACUUCUGGUAGGAAACAGAAUUGUCUACUACUAUAUUAUUUUAACUUAUAACAUAUAAAAGUGGAUUUAUUCAAUUAAAGUUUUGUUUUAUUA
Molecule: long non-coding RNA, 213 nt
Organism: Anoplophora glabripennis (Asian longhorned beetle)
Lineage: Eukaryota; Metazoa; Arthropoda; Insecta; Coleoptera; Cerambycidae
Exons: 2
Source: RefSeq, a predicted model, not a curated record